CCUACGGGAGGCAGCAGUAGGGAAUCUUUCACAAUGGGCGAAAGCCUGAUGGAGCAACGCCGCGUGCAGGAUGAAGGCCUUCGGGUUGUAAACUGCUUUUAUAAGCGAGAAAUAUGAUGGUAACUUAUGAAUAAGGAUCGGCUAACUACGUGCCAGCAGCCGCGGUCAUACGUAGGAUCCGAGCAUUAUCCGGAGUGACUGGGUGUAAAGAGUUGCGUAGGUGGCAUAAUAAGUAGCUAGUGAAAUCUGGUGGCUCAACCAUUCAGACUAUUAGCUAAACUGUUAAGCUCGAGACCGUUAGGGGUAACUGGAAUUUCUAGUGUAGGAGUGAAAUCCGUAGAUAUUAGAAGGAACACCAAUAGCGUAGGAAGGUUGCUGGGACGGGUCUGACACUAAGGCACGAAAGCGUAGGGAGCAAACGGGAUUAGAUACCCCAGUAGUC
Molecule: ribosomal RNA, 442 nt
Filed under: uncultured bacterium
Lineage: Bacteria
Description: partial 16S ribosomal RNA
Rfam family: Bacterial small subunit ribosomal RNA
Source: RNAcentral